Molecule: ribosomal RNA, 577 nt
Filed under: Platygaster sp. OSUC 627832
Lineage: Eukaryota; Metazoa; Arthropoda; Insecta; Hymenoptera; Platygastridae
Description: bacterial SSU rRNA
Rfam family: Eukaryotic small subunit ribosomal RNA
Source: RNAcentral
CCAAGGAAGGCAGCAGGCGCGCAAAUUACCCAUUCCCGGCACGGGGAGGUAGUGACGAAAAAUAACGAUACGGGACUCAUCCGAGGCCCCGUAAUCGGAAUGAGUACACUUUAAAUCCUUUAACGAGGAUCAAUUGGAGGGCAAGUCUGGUGCCAGCAGCCGCGGUAAUUCCAGCUCCAAUAGCGUAUAUUAAAUUUGUUGCGGUUAAAAAGCUCGUAGUUGAAUCUGUGUGCUACGCAAUCGGUUCGCCGCUCGCGGUGUUACUGACUGACGGUGGUACGUCCUACCGGUGGAUGCGGUCGCGUGCUUCGGCGCGUGACGGUCCAAGAUGAAUCCCGUCGCGGUGCUCUUUACCGAGUGUCGAGGCGGGCCGGUACGUUUACUUUGAACAAAACUGAGUGCUCAAAGCAGGCAAGUGAAGCCUGGAAGAUCUGUGCAUGGAAUAAUGGAAUAGGACCUCGGUUCUAUUUUGUUGGUUUUCGGAAGCCCCGAGGUAAUGAUUAAUAGGGACAGAUGGGGGCAUUUGUAUUGCGACGUUAGAGGUGAAAUUCUUGGAUCGUCGCAAGACAAACUAAAG